RNAcentral lists this ribosomal RNA (466 nucleotides) under uncultured bacterium. RNAcentral describes it as "partial 16S ribosomal RNA". It matches the Rfam family "Bacterial small subunit ribosomal RNA", at positions 28 to 507 of the family's 1533-position model. The record is from RNAcentral.
GAUGAACGCUGGCGGCGUGCUUAACACAUGCAAGUCGAACGGAAAGGCCCAAGCUUGCUUGGGUACUCGAGUGGCGAACGGGUGAGUAACACGUGGGUGAUCUGCCCUGCACUUCGGGAUAAGCCUGGGAAACUGGGUCUAAUACCGGAUAGGACCACAUUUUGGAUGGUGUGGUGGAAAGUUUUUCGGUGUGGGAUGAGCUCGCGGCCUAUCAGCUUGUUGGUGGGGUAAUGGCCUACCAAGGCGUCGACGGGUAGCCGGCCUGAGAGGGUGUACGGCCACAUUGGGGCUGGGAUACGGCCCAGACUCCUACGGGAAGCAGCAGUGGGGAAUAUUGCACAAUGGGGGCAAGCCUGAUGCAGCGACGCCGCGUGGGGGAUGACGGCCUUCGGGUUGUAAACUCCUUUCGCUAGGGACGAAGCGUUAUGUGACGGUACCUGGAGAAGAAGCACCGGCUAACUACGUG